CCUAAAAUUUAGCUACUAACAACCCAUGCCAACCCAAACUAUAAACCAAAAAUAAAACAUUUUUUUGUCAAGUAGAGGUGAUCAAAAAACUUAUUAGCGCUACAUAUCAAGUACCGCAAGGGAAAAAUGAAAUAGACUUGAAAUAGCCUUAAAGCAAAACAAAGUAGAGAUCACCCCUCGUACCUUUUGCAUCAUGAUUUAGCUAGUUCCUCCCAGGCAAAGUGAAACACCAGUCUGACCCCCCGAAACUAGACGAGCUACUUUUAAACAGCUUUAUAGAGCCAACCCGUCUCUGUUGCAAAAGAGUGGGAUGAUUUUUAAGUAGAGGUGAAAAGCCUAUCGAGCCUAGAGAUAGCUGGUUACUUAGGAAAAGAAUUUUAGUUCGCCCUCAAGUCUUUUUAUUACAAUAACAAACAACCUAAGACUUGACAGCUACUCAAGUAAGGCACAGCUUACUUGAUAAAGGACACAACCUAGAAAAAAGGGUAAAAAUUGACAUCCAAACUAAGUGGGCCUAAAAGCAGCCUAAAAAGCGUUAAAGCUUCGUAUCCUUAUAUUUAACCUAAUCCCUAAAAACACUUUAAACCCUUUACUAUUACUUAGUAAUUUUAUAUUAUUAUAAAAGUUUUUAUGCUAGAACUAGUAACAAGAAACUGAAUUUCUCCUAAAUAUAAGCAUAAACCAAAACGGACAAACCAUUGGUAAUUAACGCUUGUAAGCCUAAUAUAUUAACUUCGCAAGAAAAAUCUAUAAACAUACACGUUAAUCUUACACAAGUAUAUUUCAGGAAAGAUUAAAAGAAAAGGAAGGAACUCGGCAAAUUUUAACCCCGCCUGUUUACCAAAAACAUCGCCUCUUGAUCAAAUAUAAGAGGUCUAGCCUGCCCAGUGACGUACUUAAACGGCCGCGGUACCCUGACCGUGCAAAGGUAGCAUAAUCAUUUGUUCUUUAAAUAGGGACUUGUAUCAACGGCAUCACGAGGGUUAUACUGUCUCCCCUCUCUAAUCAGUGAAACUGACCUCCCCGUGAAGAGGCGGGGAUAAAAAUACAAGACGAGAAGACCCCAUGGAGCUUCAAACCCAAUAACAACCUCCUUAAACAAAAGAAAACUCUUGAGGGACUGUAUAUUGGUUUUAGGUUGGGGUGACCACGGAGUAAAAUAAAACCUCCCUGACGAAUGGAUUUUAUCCUAAUCCAAGAGCCACUGCUCUAAGAAUCAAAAAUUUGACGUAACAUGAUCCAGCACGCUGAUCAACGAACCAAGUUACCCUGGGGAUAACAGCGCAAUCCAUUUCAAGAGCCCCUAUCGACAAAUGGGUUUACGACCUCGAUGUUGGAUCAGGGUGUCCCGGUGGUGCAGCCGCUACAAAGGUUUGUUUG
RNAcentral lists this ribosomal RNA (1380 nucleotides) under Limnonectes sp. TNHC 59256. RNAcentral's name for it is "partial 16S ribosomal RNA". It matches the Rfam family "Bacterial large subunit ribosomal RNA", at positions 373 to 2579 of the family's 2925-position model. The record is from RNAcentral. Lineage: Eukaryota; Metazoa; Chordata; Amphibia; Anura; Dicroglossidae.